GCGCCGUUAGCUCAAUUGGAUAGAGUGCGUGGCUACGAACCACGAGGUUGGGAGUUCAAGUCUCUUACGGCGUG
Molecule: transfer RNA, 74 nt
Filed under: Oscillospiraceae bacterium
Lineage: Bacteria; Bacillati; Bacillota; Clostridia; Eubacteriales; Oscillospiraceae
Description: tRNA-Arg
Rfam family: tRNA
About the family: Transfer RNA (tRNA) molecules are approximately 80 nucleotides in length.
Source: RNAcentral